This 253-nucleotide ribosomal RNA is filed under the name uncultured bacterium. RNAcentral's name for it is "partial 16S ribosomal RNA". It matches the Rfam family "Bacterial small subunit ribosomal RNA", at positions 524 to 776 of the family's 1533-position model. The record is from RNAcentral.
UACGUAGGGCGCAAGCGUUGUCCGGAAUUAUUGGGCGUAAAGAGCUCGUAGGCGGUUUGUCGCGUCUGUCGUGAAAGCUUGGGGCUUAACCCCAAGUCUGCGGUGGAUACGGGCGGACUAGAGGCAGGUAGGGGAGAACGGAAUUCCCGGUGUAGCGGUGAAAUGCGCAGAUAUCGGGAGGAACACCGGUGGCGAAGGCGGUUCUCUGGGCCUGUACUGACGCUGAGGAGCGAAAGCGUGGGGAGCGAACAGG